RNAcentral lists this ribosomal RNA (306 nucleotides) under uncultured bacterium. RNAcentral's name for it is "partial 16S ribosomal RNA". It matches the Rfam family "Bacterial small subunit ribosomal RNA", at positions 505 to 807 of the family's 1533-position model. The record is from RNAcentral.
GACAGCAGCAGCCGCGGGAAUACAGAGGGUGCGAGCGUUAAUCGGAUUUACUGGGCGUAAAGCGUGCGUAGGCGGCUUUUUAAGUCGGAUGUGAAAUCCCUGAGCUUAACUUAGGAAUUGCAUUCGAUACUGGGAAGCUAGAGUAUGGGAGAGGAUGGUAGAAUUCCAGGUGUAGCGGUGAAAUGCGUAGAGAUCUGGAGGAAUACCGAUGGCGAAGGCAGCCAUCUGGCCUAAUACUGACGCUGAGGUACGAAAGCAUGGGGAGCAAACAGGAUUAGAUACCCCUGCAGUCCCUGUCUCUUAUAC